UGGUAUGCACUGGCUUCGCUGAUUCCUCCUUUCUGAAGAACUGUAAUGCCAUUAAUUUGGUGUUGCAGGGAAACAGGACUGUUACUUUGAAAAAAUUAGAGUGUUUAAAGCAGGCUAACGCUUGAAUACAUUAGCAUGGAAUAAUGAAAUAGGACGUUCGAUCCUAUUUUGUUGGUUUCUAGGAUUGACGUAAUGAUUAAUAGGGAUAGUUGGGGGCAUUAGUAUUCAAUUGUCAGAGGUGAAAUUCUUGGAUUUAUUGAAGACUAACUACUGCGAAAGCAUUUGCCAAGGAUGUGUUCAUUAAUCAAGAACGAAAGUUAGGGGAUCGAAGACGAUCAGAUACCGUCGUAGUCUUAACCAUAAACUAUGCCGACUAGGGAUCGGAUGAUGUUAAUUUUUUAAUGACUCAUUCGGCGCCUUACG
RNAcentral lists this ribosomal RNA (423 nucleotides) under uncultured Glomeromycotina. RNAcentral describes it as "SSU rRNA". It matches the Rfam family "Eukaryotic small subunit ribosomal RNA", at positions 671 to 1092 of the family's 1831-position model. Lineage: Eukaryota; Fungi; Glomeromycota. The record is from RNAcentral.